UUUUCUCUCCUCCAUAGCUGGGUUUUCUUCAACUUUCAAGCUUCAUAGUAAGUGAUUCCAAGCCCCGUUUUUAAUGAUCUUUACAUUUUUGGAGUCCAGGUAACUUGAUUAAGCUUAUUCUAGCAAUAAUUCAACCUAGGGUUCAUAUUUGGAAAAAUACCCAUGGCUGAAAUUUGUUUAUUUUGGUGUUUUAUGAUAGAAUAUGAGGUUUUAAAUUAUGUUAAACAACUUAUGCUACUCGGUUUUAAGUGAAAACGAGUAAAAGGGCUUAAAUUGGAAAAAAAUACCAAUAGUCAUAAGUAUAUGUUAGAGUGUGAUUUUGAUAUUGCCAUAGAAGGGAAAAAUGAUCAGCAUGUCAUAAAACAUAAGAAAAUAGGAUGAAGUUUAAUUUACGAGCCUUGGGGAAAAAGUGCAAAUAUGUGAAAGUUUAAGGGUAAAAAUAUAAUUUUUCCAAAGUUCGGGUCAAGGACUGUUUUAAUAAAUGUGAAUAUUAAAUAAGUUAAAUUUGCUAUUAUAGAUCAAGAAGAACGAAAUUCAGGAGUAGAUCGGGGAAAAGAAAAAGUAAAGGACUAAAUUAUAAAGUUUAGUCACAUUUUGUAUCAAGGUAAGUUACAGUAAAUAAAUGCAAUAUUCUUUUAUUUUACAUUAUUAUUGUCAACUUCCAGCAUUUAUAUAUUUAUGUUAUGAAAAUAUUUAAAGUCGAAUUUAAGGUGAAGUGACAGAGGAAAAGUGUUAGAAAGCCCCGGUUGAACCCUAGGAAUGUUAGGAUAUUAGGGUUGACAGGACAGAACAGAAAUAAGCCAUGUAAGUCCAUAUUAGAAAUAUGGGUUUGGAGACAGGAUUGAGCCAUGUAAGUCCAUAUUAUAUAUGGCAUUGGAGACAGGAAUAAUUCAUGUAAGUCCAUGUCAAAGACAUGGCAUCGGCAACAUAUUCAUAGACAGGAACGACCCUAGUAUCCUUAGUAUUCCGAGUGGUUCAACGGGUCAGGAUACGAAUUAAAUUACAGUGAAUUAACAGCAAAGGAAAAGUAGAUUAUACUUAUGAAAAACGAAAGGUCAGGUAAGAAAGAAGGUAAGGGAGUAAAGAAGAAGAUAGAAAUUGAGAAGUAAAGAAAUUUAUGAUGUUAGAUGAUAUUAUGCAUAAUUAUCCAUUAUGUUGAAUGUUGUGAUUUAUUUGCUUGUAAGCUUACUAAGCCUAGUGCUUAAUCUCCUUAUUCUCUUCUUCUUAUAGUACUUAUCUAGUCACUCGGGGAUCGAAGGAAACGUCAGAGGCUGAUCACACUAUCAAAGAAAUAACUCGGUAUAAUUAGACGUUUUGUUUUGGGUAUGGCAUGUAUAGAAACUUAGCUACUUUUGGUAUAAUAUGAACAAUGAAUGAUGUGUAAAUACUUGCUAGUGAUUAGCUAAUAAAAUAGCCGAUGAUAUACAUGUUUAUUAA
This 1437-nucleotide long non-coding RNA is filed under the name Gossypium barbadense (sea-island cotton). RNAcentral's name for it is "long non-coding RNA (GBAR_LNC002304)". The record is from RNAcentral. Lineage: Eukaryota; Viridiplantae; Streptophyta; Magnoliopsida; Malvales; Malvaceae.